This 442-nucleotide ribosomal RNA is filed under the name uncultured bacterium. RNAcentral's name for it is "partial 16S ribosomal RNA". It matches the Rfam family "Bacterial small subunit ribosomal RNA", at positions 338 to 795 of the family's 1533-position model. The record is from RNAcentral.
CCUACGGGAGGCAGCAGUAGGGAAUCUUUCACAAUGGGCGAAAGCCUGAUGGAGCAACGCCGCGUGCAGGAUGAAGGCCUUCGGGUUGUAAACUGCUUUUAUAAGCGAGAAAUAUGAUGGUAACUUAUGAAUAAGGAUCGGCUAACUCCGUGCCAGCAGCCGCGGUCAUACGUAGGAUCCGAGCAUUAUCCGGAGUGACUGGGUGUAAAGAGUUGCGUAGGUGGCAUAAUAAGUAGCUAGUGAAAUCUGGUGGCUCAACCAUUCAGACUAUUAGCUAAACUGUUAAGCUCGAGACCGUUAGGGGUAACUGGAAUUUCUAGUGUAGGAGUGAAAUCCGUAGAUAUUAGAAGGAACACCAAUAGCGUAGGCAGGUUGCUGGGACGGUUCUGACACUAAGGCACGAAAGCGUAGGGAGCAAACGGGAUUAGAUACCCCAGUAGUC